GAAUCUGCCCUGCACUCUGGGAUAAGCCUGGGAAACUGGGUCUAAUACCGGAUAGGACCAUGCUUUAGUGUGUGUGGUGGAAAGUUUUUCGGUGUAGGAUGAGCCCGCGGCCUAUCAGCUUGUUGGUGGGGUAAUGGCCUACCAAGGCGGCGACGGGUAGCCGGACUGAGAGGUUGGUCGGCCACAUUGGGACUGAGAUACGGCCCAG
RNAcentral lists this ribosomal RNA (208 nucleotides) under uncultured Actinomycetales bacterium. RNAcentral describes it as "partial 16S ribosomal RNA". It matches the Rfam family "Bacterial small subunit ribosomal RNA", at positions 122 to 334 of the family's 1533-position model. The record is from RNAcentral. Lineage: Bacteria; Bacillati; Actinomycetota; Actinomycetes; Actinomycetales.